CAAAGCAUAAUCUUGGAAACUUUAGGCACCAUACGAAUUUGGUGCAGCUUCAGAGAACCGUGAGACCUCGAAAUUGCGCGAGCUCGGAAAAGUGUGGAGAAUAUUCAUUUUCUACAGAUCUUACAGACAAUAAAGGUCAUCUUUUCAAUCGACACGCAUCAAAUUGGGCUGUUAGCUCCCAGAAUACACAACCAUGGUUCUUCAGCUGAUAUCAAGGUAUUGGUGGGCGGCUAUCGUACCCUCCGGCAUCGUUGUUGGAAUGUACUUUGACAAACGAGAGACUGAAAGGCUGAGUGGAUGGAAGAACAAGACGGAGCUGUACAGACGGGAGCUCAAACCAGGAGAAAACCCAUGGAAGGCCUACUAGUAUGUUGCGUGUUGAUAACUAGGGAUAAUAUGAAGGUAGAUACUAAUUCUGAUUUAUUGAGUAACGAGUGCAUCUGUUCAUCACAAGCUGUUGUGCAUCUGUCAUAAAAAACAAAAAAACAAAUUGAGUUUGUAAUUUCGGAACUUGGAAUUAUUUUUUGUGCACUGGAUUUAUCCUCCAAACGGCCAGCCAUCAACUUCUAAUGCAGUCUCGCACAUGUGAUUGGCAGCUUAUCACAGUAACAGAUGUGUUCCCGGGAAACAUAGCAAGAUAUGCGGAGAGUCUGAGAUCUUGAAGACAUUGGAUUCUGAUGGUUGUCAUGAUUCUAUCACAGGGAUGUACCACUAGGCAUCAAGUUCACCCAGUUGCUGAACUGACUCAAAUAGCUUACACGUACUUCGUGCAGGAUAAACGGCCUUGAACAGCCUCCGGAACAUCCCAAUGCAUUUUCAGCAUGCUAACUUGACAGCCUGUCAUCUGACUGCACUUCAAAGUCAUACAUGACAUCUUCAAGCAAACUUGAAUCCUUGAUCGUGAUUGGUCGAUCCAUGGCAACAACAGUAUGGUAUUGUCCCGUUUAUCACGGUCCAUAUCGCACUCUGCGUAUCGCACUACUCUAAGAUGCGUGUGCCAUUCCUACUGCACGCACGUAUGUGCAUGUUCCAUCUUAAGUGUGCAUCAAGUUGGCUUGAAGAGAAACUCAUUAUCCCACUCGGGCUCGUGGAACAUUGAAAAUGUAGUGCGUCUGUGUUUAUAUGCCCCUCGGCCCAGAUGCACUACAUUUUUCCAUGUUCCACGCAGACUCGAAGGAUAACUA
Patiria miniata (bat star) is the source of this 1184-nucleotide long non-coding RNA. RefSeq lists it as uncharacterized. The transcript is spliced from 2 exons. The record is from RefSeq and is a predicted model, not a curated record. NCBI's taxonomy places the organism in Eukaryota, Metazoa, Echinodermata, Asteroidea, Valvatida, Asterinidae.